CGGAAGGUCUCUUCUCCCUGCGUCUCCUUCUCCCUCGCACCAGAAUGAAAGGCUCCUAACUCGCUGCACUCCACAGGUCUGCUUCUCCUCCUCCCUCGCAGUCGACGGUCAUCUCCUCCUCUCUCGUUGCACAGGGCUCCGAACUGUCGGUGCGUCUCCUCCUCCCUCAUGUUUCCACAGGUCAGACAGCACAGGUACCCGGACAACCACCAUGAUCUUUGGUGGCGUUCAAGUGGUAAGAUCGAGGGGUGGUUACUGUGGCGAGAGAUAACAUGAGCUUCAUCCAAAACUUCACGGAUAUUCUGGUGAAGGCAUUGGGCCAUGCCAUAACACCAGGGUCAAGUAAGGCAACGACUCUGACAGUGCCAACUUCAUGAAUAUUUUGGGAGGAUGCAACCUAUUACUACAUUUUUUAUUUCAUGGAAGUGUUGGAGGCAGCUUAUCAAAACAAGAUUUCCUGGUUUCCUGGUUGCCAAACGAUGAUUUCCUGGUU
Long non-coding RNA from Nymphaea colorata (pocket water lily), 493 nucleotides. RefSeq lists it as uncharacterized. The transcript is spliced from 3 exons. NCBI's taxonomy places the organism in Eukaryota, Viridiplantae, Streptophyta, Magnoliopsida, Nymphaeales, Nymphaeaceae. The record is from RefSeq and is a predicted model, not a curated record.